UAUCCCAAAGAAUUUUUUCUCUAAUGGUGU
RNAcentral lists this non-coding RNA (30 nucleotides) under Mus musculus (house mouse). The record is from RNAcentral. Lineage: Eukaryota; Metazoa; Chordata; Mammalia; Rodentia; Muridae.